This 499-nucleotide ribosomal RNA is filed under the name uncultured bacterium. Its description in RNAcentral is "partial 16S ribosomal RNA". It matches the Rfam family "Bacterial small subunit ribosomal RNA", at positions 899 to 1397 of the family's 1533-position model. The record is from RNAcentral.
ACUCAAAGGAAUUGACGGGGGCCCGCACAAGCGGUGGAUCAUGUGGUUUAAUUCGAAGCAACGCGCAAAACCUUACCUGGGUUUGACAUCCUCGGACCGCUGUAGAAAUACAGUUUUUGUAGCAAUACAACCGAGAGACAGGUGCUGCAUGGCUGUCGUCAGCUCGUGUGGUGACAUGUUGGGUUAAGUCCCGCAACGAGCGCAACCCUUGCCUUUAGUUGCCAGCAUUAAGUUGGGCACUCUAGAGGGACUGCCGUGGUUAACACGGAGGAAGGUGGGGAUGACGUCAAGUCCUCAUGGCCUUUAUAUCCAGGGCGACACACGUGAUACAAUGGAUGACACAAAGGGAAGCGAACCCGCGAGGGGGAGCGAAUCUCAAAAAGUCAUUCUCAGUUCGGAUUGGAGUCUGCAACUCGACUCCAUGAAGCUGGAAUCGCUAGUAAUCGCGGAUCAGAACGCCGCGGUGAAUACGUUCCCGGGCCUUGUACACACCGCCCGU